Molecule: ribosomal RNA, 440 nt
Filed under: uncultured bacterium
Lineage: Bacteria
Description: partial 16S ribosomal RNA
Rfam family: Bacterial small subunit ribosomal RNA
Source: RNAcentral
CCUACGGGAGGCAGCAGUGGGGAAUAUUGCACAAUGGGGGAAACCCUGAUGCAGCGACGCCGCGUGAGUGAAGAAGUAAUUCGUUAUGUAAAGCUCUAUCAGCAGGGAAGAAAAUGACGGUACCUGAGUAAGAAGCCGCGGCUAACUACGUGCCAGCAGCCGCGGUCAUACGUAGGGGCCAAGCGUUAUCCGGCUUUACUGGGUGUAAAGGGAGCGUAGACGGCAGUGCAAGUCUGGAGUUAAAGGCGGGGGCUCAACCCCCGGACUGCUCUGGAAACUGUACGGCUGGAGUGCAGGAGAGGUAAGUGGAAUUCCUAGGGGAGCGGUGAAAUGCGUAGAUAGUAGGAGGAACACCAGUGGCGAAGGCGGCUUACUGGACUGUAACUGACGUUGAGGCUCGAAAGCGUGGGGAGCAAACAGGAUUAGAUACCCUUGUAGUC